Molecule: long non-coding RNA, 1795 nt
Organism: Gallus gallus (chicken)
Lineage: Eukaryota; Metazoa; Chordata; Aves; Galliformes; Phasianidae
Source: Ensembl
AAAGCGGCCGGUAAACGUUAAGCGCCGAACCUUCGGCGGCGUCGCGUGGCGUUUCGCUCGUUCAAAGCCUAACUUCCGCGAGCUGCGGGCUGCUGCUCGUCCAGGCUGCGACGCCGUGUGCUGAAGGACGGUACCCGGGCGUUAGGUGAAGGCAGCGCGGUUUGGUCCUCCGCUCCUUCAGGCGCGUGUAAUACGGGCCGGGCUGCUCAAAGCCCCAACCCCGUUGUGGAGCAAAGUAAGGACUGAGGCAAACGGAGCCGCAGGAUGGAGCUGCGCACGGACUGCGUGUGCAAAGCCGGUGGAGAAUUCCCUCCCGAGGGCAGGGAAGGGAUACGACAUUGCGUCGCGGCAGCUCACUAAGCUCCCCAGUGGACUCACACACCCAAUCUGUGGCACAGCAAACCGUGCCGUGCCUCGGCUGCUGAGAGGUGCAAACUUGGAGGCAAUGGGGCAGCGCACGCACCUGACUUUUAGGAGGAAACCACUUCUAGGUUCUUCUGAAAAACAGAGCCUUAACCCUCCCGGAGCCCUAAGCUCAGAGAGCUUCGCACAGCCUGUCAAGCAAGUUCCUCUGUCUCCUGCCUCCAUGUAUCCACUGCACGUGUGCCGUAGAUGUGAAGACGCGGGAUCCUGUCCAGGAAAUGUGGUGUGGUGGGCAGCGGCAGAACAGACACUGCACAAAUACGGGAGAGUGACAAACCUCAGUUGUGCAGAAGGGACAAAAUCAAUGCACCCUCGCUUGCUCCAGCCAGCUUUCCUCACAGCCUUUCCCACAGAGCCUGCAGACGUCAUGCACAGCGUCCGGUGCCUCCUGAAGCAGCUAUGGAUGGCUUCUGAGCUGCAUGUCGACACAGCUUAGCCAGUUACGCCUGGGCCUGCAUCCCCUCUGCACUCAAGGCUCUGCCAGCAGCUCCAGUUGCAGAAGGCCUUCGUCACCAGUGAAUCACUGAGCUGUAAGCACUCAGCCUACGGUGGCUCCCCGUAGCUGCAGGUUGUUGGAGCACCUUGUUCUUAAAGCAGGUGCUAUUUCUAUGCCUUUCUGGACGAACAGAGAAUGCAGUUCUUAAGAGAAAUGCUGCAAAAACACACAUGGAAGCUCACUAGGCUCAUAAAAUUGAAAAGUUUCUUCAGGGUUUUUGCAUUUUCAAUUAAGAUGGUAUUUACCAAUGAGUCACUGUUCAUCUCGAUGUUAUUCACGUGGGUUCAUGGCUAAGCUAUCGUAUUUUGCCAUUUAUGUUGAGUCUCCUUUUGAAAACUGUCUACACCUUACCAGGCAGAGUGACUCCCAAAUGUCAAGUAGCAUCAGUCUUCUUGCCUACCCAUCUCCUUGCUUUCUGGUUGUUCUGUGCCUUCACUUCACCCUGGCAGGCAGCGGGCAGAAGUUGCACACCGGCGUAUAUAAGCGGUUACGUUUAUGUCAGCAAUCAGUUUUCCCAACAGUGGUUGGCGGCCGCUGCUUUUCCAUCGCAAGAGAUUAGGCAUGGAAGGUGACACGAGGCAUUUCUGCACCCAUCACGCACACACAAGUGUAGUUCUCUGCCAUAAGGAUCAGGAGCAACGUCUUUAAAGGAUAAGCCUAAUAAGCUUUGGAGAUUCUCUGUGUUACGGCGUCUCCGGAACACGCUUAUUUUUGCACUCCUGGGAAGUGCUGUAGCAAUUACAGAGAGAGGUUGGUACGCAAACUGGUGAACCACGGACGUCUGUUCAUGCUAAAUCGUAAUGUUUGUCUGAAAUAUUUAAUAGGAACAAAGUAACAUCAGUAUUUUGCAACUGGAUUCAAUAAAAGCAAUGGCAC